This 443-nucleotide ribosomal RNA is filed under the name uncultured bacterium. RNAcentral's name for it is "partial 16S ribosomal RNA". It matches the Rfam family "Bacterial small subunit ribosomal RNA", at positions 338 to 795 of the family's 1533-position model. The record is from RNAcentral.
ACUACGGGUGGCAGCAGUGGGGAAUAUUGGGCAAUGGGCGCAAGCCUGACCCAGCAACGCCGCGUGAAGGAAGAAGGCUUUCGGGUUGUAAACUUCUUUUCUCAGGGACGAAGAAAGUGACGGUACCUGAGGAAUAAGCCACGGCUAACUACGUGCCAGCAGCCGCGGUAAUACGUAGGUGGCAAGCGUUAUCCGGAUUUAUUGGGUGUAAAGGGCGUGUAGGCGGGAGCGCAAGUCGGAUGUGAAAACUCAGGGCUCAACCCUGAGCCUGCAUUUGAAACUGUGUUUCUUGAGUGCUGGAGAGGCAAUCGGAAUUCCGUGUGUAGCGGUGAAAUGCGUAGAUAUACGGAGGAACACCAGUGGCGAAGGCGGAUUGCUGGACAGUAACUGACGCUGAGGCGCGAAAGCGUGGGGAGCAAACAGGAUUAGAUACCCGGGUAGUC